Molecule: unclassified non-coding RNA, 496 nt
Filed under: Hevea brasiliensis (rubber tree)
Lineage: Eukaryota; Viridiplantae; Streptophyta; Magnoliopsida; Malpighiales; Euphorbiaceae
Source: RNAcentral
AAAGAAAAGAAAAAAAAAAAGAAACUAUUACUCCAAAAGCGAAUUGAUUUGUGUAAAACAUAAGAAACGAACCUUAUAGCCCUUCUCAAUGAGCAACUGAGCUGUCACUUGUCGGAGAUAGACUAACAAUCUAGAUGUGGCUAAGAAGCUCAACUGGAGCUUCAGUAGCUUUGAAAAUGCCAUUAAUGGCCACUGUAACAGUGGGCUAUCAAAAUUCUUCUAUUCCUUGCCUUGAUCUUGCAUUUUCUUUAAAUAGUAAUCAAGAUUAAUUCAAGGAGAGGGAAAGAAUUUGGAUGCUGUUUGUAACGAUCCAAACUGGAGGCUAUUACCAGUGUUAGGGAUCAGGUCAGUUUAAUGUUGCAGGAACCUGUAGCAAACCUAAAAACCUAUUAAACAUAAAAAUAUUUCUAUAUCUCAUCAUCAAAGCAUAAACCAAACCAUUACACUUUAGUUGUGGUUUAGAAUUUGAUGUUUUACAUACAUAAAAUUACUAAAG